RNAcentral lists this long non-coding RNA (821 nucleotides) under Homo sapiens (human). RNAcentral's name for it is "non-protein coding lnc-RALY-1:1". Lineage: Eukaryota; Metazoa; Chordata; Mammalia; Primates; Hominidae. The record is from RNAcentral.
AUGGGGAACCGCGGUGGCUUCCGCGGAGGUUUCGGCGGUGGCAUCCGGGGCCAGGGUCAUGGCCGUGGACUGGGCCGGAGCCGAGGCCAUGGAGCUCGCAGAGGCAAGGCCGAGGAUAAGGAGUAGAUGCCCGUCACCAAGCUGGGCCACCUGGUCAAGGACAUGAAGAUCAAGUACCUGGAGGAUGUCUCUUCUCCCUGCCCAUCAAGGAAUCUGAGACCAUUGACUUUUUUCUGGGGUCCUCUCUCAAGGAAGAGGGUUUGAAGAUUAUGCCGGUGCAGAAGCAGACCCGCGCGGGCCAGCGCACCAGGUUCAAGGCGUUUGUUGCCACCGGGGACUACAAUGGCCACGUCGGUCUGUGCGUUAAGUGCUCCAAGGAGGUGGCUACUGCCAUCCGCGGGUCCGUCAUCCUGACCAAGCACUCCAUUGUCCCCGUGCGCAGAGGCUACGGGGGAACAAGAUGGACAAGCCCACACCGUCCCUUGCAAGGUGACAGGCCGCUGCGGCUCUGUGCUGGUGCACCUCAUCCCUGCACCCAGGGGCACUGGCAUCGUCUCCGCACCUGUGCCCAAGAAGCUCCUCAUGAUGGCUGGUAUUGAUGACUGCCACACCUCAGCCAGGGGCUGCACUGCCACCCUGGCAACUUCGCCAAGGCCACCUUUGACACCAUCUCUAAGACCUACAGCUACCUGACCCUCGACCUCUGGAAGGAGACUAUAUUCACCAAGUCUCCCUAUCAGGAAUUCACUGACCACCUCGUCAAGACCCACACCAGAGUCUCCAUGCAGAGGACCCAGGCUCCAGCUGUGGCUACAGCAUAG